GCCUCCGUAGCGCAAUUGGUUAGAGCAUUAGACUUUUAAUCUAAAGGUUAGUGGUUCAAGUCCACUCGGGGGCG
Transfer RNA from Folsomia candida, 74 nucleotides. It matches the Rfam family "tRNA". Rfam says of the family: Transfer RNA (tRNA) molecules are approximately 80 nucleotides in length. Their secondary structure includes four short double-helical elements and three loops (D, anti-codon, and T loops). Further hydrogen bonds mediate the characteristic L-shaped molecular structure. tRNAs have two regions of fundamental functional importance: the anti-codon, which is responsible for specific mRNA codon recognition, and the 3' end, to which the tRNAs corresponding amino acid is attached (by aminoacyl-tRNA synthetases). tRNAs cope with the degeneracy of the genetic code in two manners: having more than one tRNA (with a specific anti-codon) for a particular amino acid; and 'wobble' base-pairing, i.e. permitting non-standard base-pairing at the 3rd anti-codon position. The record is from Rfam. Lineage: Eukaryota; Metazoa; Arthropoda; Collembola; Entomobryomorpha; Isotomidae.